This 496-nucleotide ribosomal RNA is filed under the name uncultured bacterium. RNAcentral's name for it is "partial 16S ribosomal RNA". It matches the Rfam family "Bacterial small subunit ribosomal RNA", at positions 28 to 523 of the family's 1533-position model. The record is from RNAcentral.
GAUGAACGCUAGCGGCAGGCUUAACACAUGCAAGUCGAGGGGUAGAAGUUGCUUGCAACUUUGAGACCGGCGCACGGGUGCGUAACGCGUAUGCAAUCUACCUUAUACAGAGGGAUAGCCCAGAGAAAUUUGGAUUAAUACCUCAUAGUAUAAUUGAAUGGCAUCAUUUAAUUAUUAAAGUUCCAACGGUAUAAGAUGAGUAUGCGUCCUAUUAGCUAGAUGGUAAGGUAACGGCUUACCAUGGCAACGAUAGGUAGGGGUCCUGAGAGGGAGAUCCCCCACACUGGUACUGAGACACGGACCAGACUCCUACGGGAGGCAGCAGUGAGGAAUAUUGUACAAUGGGCGCAAGCCUGAUCCAGCCAUGCCGCGUGCAGGAAGAAGCAUCUAUGGUGUGUAAACUGCUUUUGUACGGGAAGAAACACCCCUUCGUGAAGGGACUUGACGGUACCGUAAGAAUAAGGAUCGGCUAACUCCGUGCCAGCCGCCGCCGUAA